UUUUAUGAAGUAUAGAAAGAUUUGACCUUUUGAUCACAACAGAGUUAAAAUCCACUUUAUGAAACGAGUUACGGAUUUUAUCAUUUAUUUAACUUAAGAAAUAUGAGAUUACCCUUAAAGUGGAUUUUUCUUGAGAUUUUUGAGCAUAGUAUUAGGAGUAGUAUUUAGCACCGAGUUGGGUAUGUUACUACGGUUUCAUACCCCAGAACUACGUGCCACCGUAGGUUGAGACAUUGACUUCCACUAUAUGUGGAAAAUUGAGAUAGUGAUCACUGAGAUGAGAUUGUUCUACACCAAUGGCAAGGGUAGGACAUCCCUAACCUUACAGGGGCAAGUCGUG
This 340-nucleotide long non-coding RNA is filed under the name Capsicum annuum. Its description in RNAcentral is "long non-coding RNA (CANN_LNC014423)". The record is from RNAcentral. Lineage: Eukaryota; Viridiplantae; Streptophyta; Magnoliopsida; Solanales; Solanaceae.